CCUACGGGUGGCAGCAGUGGGGAAUAUUGCGCAAUGGGCGAAAGCCUGACGCAGCGACGCCGCGUGAGGGAUGAAGGUCUUCGGAUCGGAAACCUCUGUCAGCAGGGAAGAACGGUCACUGUGCUAAUCAGCAGUGAAUUGACGGUACCUGCAAAGGAAGCACCGGCCAACUCCGUGCCAGCAGCUGCGGGAAUACGGAGGGUGCGAGCGUUAAUCGGAAUUACUGGGCGGAAGGCGAUCGUAGGCGGUAUGUCAAGUCAAGGGUGAAGUCCCCGCGCUCAACGUGGGAACUGCCUUUCAAACUGGGGAGCUGGAGUGGGUGGGAGGAUAGUGGAAUUCCAGGUGUAGGGGUGAAAUCCGUAGAUAUCAGGAGGAACACCAGUGGCGAAGGCGACUAUCUGGCACAUUACUGACGCUGAGGAGCGAAGGCGUGGGUAGCGAACAGGAUUAGAUACCCGAGUAGUC
This 465-nucleotide ribosomal RNA is filed under the name uncultured bacterium. RNAcentral's name for it is "partial 16S ribosomal RNA". It matches the Rfam family "Bacterial small subunit ribosomal RNA", at positions 338 to 795 of the family's 1533-position model. The record is from RNAcentral.